CCAUCAUCUCAAAUAACCUGUCUACAUCCUCCCGAAGUGAAUUAUCCCGGGCCGCUCGGUUUAGUGGGGGUCUUCCUCUCCUCAUCUCUCUGCACCUGUAUUUCAUAAGAAAUGGUUGAGUAACGAUUUAUCGGUGAGUAUUUCCCUAAGCAUUAUUGUGUAAGGGAUGGGUCCGAUGAACGCAUCUCUAAUACCAACUGU
RNAcentral lists this long non-coding RNA (201 nucleotides) under Carica papaya (papaya). RNAcentral describes it as "long non-coding RNA (CPAP_LNC013375)". The record is from RNAcentral. Lineage: Eukaryota; Viridiplantae; Streptophyta; Magnoliopsida; Brassicales; Caricaceae.